RNAcentral lists this ribosomal RNA (492 nucleotides) under uncultured bacterium. RNAcentral's name for it is "partial 16S ribosomal RNA". It matches the Rfam family "Bacterial small subunit ribosomal RNA", at positions 29 to 507 of the family's 1533-position model. The record is from RNAcentral.
AGUGAACGCUGGCGGUAGGCCUAACACAUGCAAGUCGAACGGCAGCACAGUAAGAGCUUGCUCUUACGGGUGGCGAGUGGCGGACGGGUGAGGAAUACAUCGGAAUCUACUUUUUCGUGGGGGAUAACGUAGGGAAACUUACGCUAAUACCGCAUACGACCUACGGGUGAAAGCAGGGGAUCUUCGGACCUUGCGCGAUUGAAUGAGCCGGUGUCGGAUUAGCUAGUUGGCGGGGUAAAGGCCCACCAAGGCGACGAUCCGUAGCUGGUCUGAGAGGAUGAUCAGCCACACUGGAACUGAGACACGGUCCAGACUCCUACGGGAGGCAGCAGUGGGGAAUAUUGGACAAUGGGCGCAAGCCUGAUCCAGCCAUACCGCGUGGGUGAAGAAGGCCUUCGGGUUGUAAAGCCCUUUUGUUGGGAAAGAAAAGCAGCAGGUUAAUACCCCGCUGUUCUGACGGUGCCCAAAGAAUAAGCACCGGCUAACUUCGUG